AAGUCAAAGUUGUCAGGAAACUAGGUUUGCCUUAGAGUUUCACUGACACAGAGGCAUCAGUGACGUGACACACGCUUAGAGUUUUGGACACAUGGCAGGACUAAAGUGGCAGCACAGCGGUACAGCCUAUGGCUGUGGGAGAAUGGGUGGCCCCAUCUGUAGAGGACCUUUAAGAGAAAUCAGGAAGCCUUGUCGGCCAGGCUGAGGCAGUUGGAGGGCAUUGGCUCCUGAGGUUCUGUGACAUGGCCCGUGUUCUGAUUCCAUGGUGGUAACUGUUGAGUUACCUGGCAGGGUACUCUCACUCUUUCAGAGGUUGGGCGACUGGCAGGAGCUUAUGCUCUGAUAGCUCUGACAACCGACUGAUUUGAGAUUUCACAGCUUUUAAAAGUUGUGGAUGAUUCCAUAACUUCCUUGGCUCUACCCGUGUCACGUUUACCAUCACUAUGGCAUUGAACCUGAAUCCUCCACCUGAUCAGGGAAUAAAAAAAAUAACAUGGUAGAGACCGAGGAAUUGUGCUCCCAAUUGGCGGAAUGCCAGCGGGAGCUAAAAGACUUGAAGAAACAAGCUCUUCAAGCAGAGGCAAAUGCCUAUAUCCUGGCCAAUCACCUUCAAGAACAUCGAUGUGAAGGGUAUAAAGAUCUGAUUGAAUCCCUGCUGAGGGAGAAGCCACAGUUGCUGGCAGAGGACCUGACAUCUCCAGAGAACCGAAA
This is a long non-coding RNA of Ochotona princeps (American pika), 711 nucleotides long. RefSeq lists it as uncharacterized. The record is from RefSeq and is a predicted model, not a curated record. The transcript is spliced from 3 exons. Lineage: Eukaryota; Metazoa; Chordata; Mammalia; Lagomorpha; Ochotonidae.